UACGUGAGCCCCAAGCGUUAUCCGGAUUUAUUGGGCGUAAAGAGUCUGUAGGCGUUUUGGAAAGUUUUUUGUCAAAUCCUGGAGCUCAACUCCAGGACCGCGGAAAAUACUUCCAGAAUAGAGGGUGGAAGAGGUAGAUGGAAUUGCCGGUGUAGCGGUAAAAUGCGUUAAUAUCGGCAAGAACACCAAAUGCGAAGGCUUUCUACUAGUACACACCUGACGCUGAGAGACGAAAGCGUGGGGAGCGAAUGGG
This 253-nucleotide unclassified non-coding RNA is filed under the name Patescibacteria group bacterium. RNAcentral describes it as "contains 16S-23S intergenic spacer region". It matches the Rfam family "Bacterial small subunit ribosomal RNA", at positions 524 to 776 of the family's 1533-position model. The record is from RNAcentral.